UCCACUGCGAGGUGGAAUCUGAAAGAAGCUGGCGGCAAACAUUCGAAAGAGGAAUAUGACAACAGAAUCAUGGAAGCGAAUGCGACAAAC
Prevotella sp. CAG:386 is the source of this 90-nucleotide non-coding RNA. The record is from Rfam. Lineage: Bacteria; Pseudomonadati; Bacteroidota; Bacteroidia; Bacteroidales; Prevotellaceae.